This 595-nucleotide long non-coding RNA is filed under the name Bos taurus (domestic cattle). Its description in RNAcentral is "long non-coding RNA NONBTAT002690". Lineage: Eukaryota; Metazoa; Chordata; Mammalia; Artiodactyla; Bovidae. The record is from RNAcentral.
AUCAGAACUUCGAUAACACUACUGGUUAGGAUAGAAAUGAGCUCCUCUGUGACUCAAACAUGACAGCCUUCUUUAAUUGCAGCACUGCCAAAAAGUUAUUUGAGAACAGACUAAAAUAAUAUAAACACACUAAAUGAAUCUAACUAAAAAAGAAACAAAGAUUCCUAAGAGGAUACAUCAUAAUCAUUUUGUAACUAUGAAUUUCUAAAAGAUCUUAUCUUCACAGGCAGCAUGUUUUAGAACAUAAUGCCCUAAACCAAGGAUGAAGAAACCAUAAUUUUAUUUUUCUGUUUUGUCACCAAUAACAUUUGCAUGGAAGUAAUUUGACUUUGUGUAUUAUUUAUUUUCCUAUCUUAUAAGAAGGAAAUAUAAAUAGCUUUUCCUUACCUGUAUCCUUGAAAUGAUUUGACAUCAAUGGUUAUACUUUGAAAGCUUUGGGAUUCUAUGAGAAAAGUGCUGUGUAAAUGCUAAUUUUUUAGAUAUUGUUCUCUGUCACUUAAUGAUAUCACUGUCUUCUUCCUGAUCAUUGUCAAGAAAAGAAGUACAGGAGGGCCAUACUGAAAUUGGUCCUUACUUAUACCACUGGGAGUUUUAG